Molecule: ribosomal RNA, 460 nt
Filed under: uncultured bacterium
Lineage: Bacteria
Description: partial 16S ribosomal RNA
Rfam family: Bacterial small subunit ribosomal RNA
Source: RNAcentral
CCUACGGGGGGCAGCAGUGAGGAAUAUUGGUCAAUGGACGAGAGUCUGAACCAGCCAAGUAGUGUGAAGGAUGACUGCACUAUGGGUUGUAAACUUCUUUUAUAAAGGAAUAAAACGAGGCACGUGUGCCUUGUUGCAUGUACUUUAUGAAUAAGGAUCGGCUAACUCCGUGCCAGCAGCCGCGGUAAUACGGAGGAUCCGAGCGUUAUCCGGAUUUAUUGGGUUUAAAGGGAGCGUAGAUGGGUUGUUAAGUCAGUUGUGAAAGUUUGCGGCUCAACCGUAAAAUUGCAAUUGAUACUGGCAGUCUUGAGUACAGUUGAGGUAGGCGGAAUUCGUGGUGUAGCGGUGAAAUGCUUAGAUAUCACGAAGAACCCCGAUUGCGAAGGCAGCUUACUAAACUGUGACUGACAUUGAUGCUCGAAAGUGUGGGUAUCAAACAGGAUUAGAUACCCCUGUAGUC